This 253-nucleotide ribosomal RNA is filed under the name uncultured bacterium. RNAcentral's name for it is "partial 16S ribosomal RNA". It matches the Rfam family "Bacterial small subunit ribosomal RNA", at positions 524 to 776 of the family's 1533-position model. The record is from RNAcentral.
UACGUAGGGUGCGAGCGUUGUCCGGAAUUAUUGGGCGUAAAGGGCUCGUAGGCGGUUUGUCGCGUCGGGAGUGAAAACUCAGGGCUUAACCCUGAGCCUGCUUCCGAUACGGGCAGACUAGAGGUAUGCAGGGGAGAAUGGAAUUCCUGGUGUAGCGGUGAAAUGCGCAGAUAUCAGGAGGAACACCGGUGGCGAAGGCGGUUCUCUGGGAAUGUACUGACGCUGAGGAGCGAAAGUGUGGGGAGCGAACAGG